Microplitis mediator is the source of this 1646-nucleotide RNA transcript. RefSeq lists it as uncharacterized. The transcript is spliced from 7 exons. Lineage: Eukaryota; Metazoa; Arthropoda; Insecta; Hymenoptera; Braconidae. The record is from RefSeq and is a predicted model, not a curated record.
AUUGCACGUUUGUGCGACUGACGCUCAUUCAAUCGUCACCUGCCGGUACUACCGAUAUAGCCGCCACAGUCUUGCGAAUAGACCUUAACCGCAAACCAACUGAUCAGUCUUUGUCUCUGUGUAACAAGCCAUUCCAAAAAUAAUUAUUCACAGGAUAUAAACAAAACGCUGUUUGUUUUUUGUAAUAAAAACUUGAAAAAAAUCAUUAAACUUGUAUUGAAAAGAUUCUCAACUGCAAGAAGAUACGUAGUUAACUUGGGUGAUGAGCAAUAUACCGAUGAUGAAGAGAAGGUAUUGAAAUAGGAAAUUAAUAUUAAAUAUAUCUACAUAUUGUGUAACAUGAAGUAAUAAGGAAUAAUAAAUGUUUUAUUGCUGCCAAGAUGGCAAUAAUACAAAUAAUUUGAAUAAUGGCAAUGCUGUUAUUAACAUUCUAGUAUUAUUACUAUGGCUACAUCGAAUUUUUGUGAACUUGAAAUUGUGACGCAUGAAGAUGAGUGAACUGAGAUAGAUAAAGAAACUCUCAACGAAAAGCUUGUUAUCAACCCAGUCAAUAAACACAGAGAAAGAGCUGAAAAUUUGAAUAGACGGGUUGAGAAUUACAGAGAAAAAAGUGCAAUAGCUGAUCAUCACAAUUUUACAUCAGAUAAUGAAAUGACGAACUCUUUAUCCUCACCGUCAUUACAUUAUGGCACUGACGAUUCAGAUAGGGAGAUUGUUAUUGAUCCCGUGGCUCCUAAAGAAACGUCAAAGAAAAAAAAAAAAUACUAAAUCAGUUGCGUCAACUCCCCCCGAGUCUUCUACUGGUGAUCCAAAAAGCGUUACAGUCGACAACGAAAAUUCAGUACAAAUAUUGCCUGAUUUCUUCUUUGAUAAAAAAUGGUACGAGAAAGCUAAAGCCGCAUUUGAGAUAGAAACCCGGUUAACAAAUAUAAUGAACGGCUAUUGGACCGAUAAAGAAGCUUCAAAACUUUGCUUAAAAGUUAGAGCAGACCGCCCGUACUUAAACGCGGUACCAGAAAAGGAUCUCGAUAAUAUAAAAGUGCAGGAAUUUUCUUGGAGGACGAUUGGUUGUUCAACGAAGCUAUCGACGGCCUCGUUGAAGGAAUCAUAAAUGGUGGCAGAUCUACGAAGCCGGAGAAUGAUUCACCUGCUGGUCCAUCUCCCGAUAACCAUAUUUUUGAUCAGCCACCGCUGUACCGGUGCCAGUUCAAACCCUGUCAAAAGGUGUUUGUACAUCGGAUUUCUUGGCGUCGCCACUGCAUAAAGAGAAGAAGAAACGAUUAUUGGUCCAUUCCUGUAAACCAUCCCAAAAAAAAAGGAAAAAAAAAUCCCAUUUCUGCAUUGAUCCUAAAAAAUUCAAUGACCAACAUGUAAGAACAUUAAAAUUUUAGUGAUUAUUAGCCUUCAAACCCAAACGGCCCUUUUCAGGGCCACCAAAUAUUUUAAAACGUAUGAAACUAUUCACGUAAAAUUAAUUUUACUUUAAUAUCAUCAUUGCUAUCAUUAUUAUUAUUAUUAUAAUUAUGAUUAUUCAUUGUUCAUUACAUUAAUUUUUUCCAGCUUGAAAUACACAGAAAGAAAAUUCCACUAAAAUUUAAUAUGUUAACAUCGUAAUUGUGGACUAUAAUUUCAGUAGCAUCGAUUCU